Molecule: ribosomal RNA, 156 nt
Filed under: Triticum aestivum (bread wheat)
Lineage: Eukaryota; Viridiplantae; Streptophyta; Magnoliopsida; Poales; Poaceae
Description: rRNA 5_8S_rRNA
Rfam family: 5.8S ribosomal RNA
About the family: 5.8S ribosomal RNA (5.8S rRNA) is a component of the large subunit of the eukaryotic ribosome. It is transcribed by RNA polymerase I as part of the 45S precursor that also contains 18S and 28S rRNA.
Source: Rfam by way of RNAcentral
GACUCUCGGCAACGGAUAUCUCGGCUCUCGCAUCGAUGAAGAACGUAGCGAAAUGCGAUACCUGGUGUGAAUUGCAGAAUCCCGCGAACCAUCGAGUCUUUGAACGCAAGUUGCGCCCGAGGCCACUCGGCCGAGGGCACGCCUGCCUGGGCNNNN